This 949-nucleotide long non-coding RNA is filed under the name Panax ginseng (ginseng). Its description in RNAcentral is "long non-coding RNA (PGIN_LNC012927)". Lineage: Eukaryota; Viridiplantae; Streptophyta; Magnoliopsida; Apiales; Araliaceae. The record is from RNAcentral.
CAGAGAACCUUAUAUUUAAUAUUUAGGAUAGUAUUAGAACGACUCAUAUUAAGGGACUGAAUAGUUUUGAGAAAAUCAAAAGAGUAACAGAUACAUAACGCAACUCAUAAUAAAUUUAGGGGAGCACUAUUUCUGCAUGAGUUUUUGAUAUUUUCGCAUACAUGAAGACGAGACCAACUUUAUCCUACGUGAAAAUAUCAAAAAACACAUCAGUUUCCUAAUUGGACCCAUUUACAAAAUGUUUUUUUUUUUUUGAAAACUUGAACGUUAGGCUGACCGUUGGGUUCAAGGGAAGCACGCAGUUUAAAAACAAACACUCAUUCACAUCAUCUCUUCAAUUCAAUCCCCAUCACAGAAUUUACAACUCCUAGAUAGAUAGAUACUACUAUUAUCUCCCACUAAAGAAAAAUGGGUAUGGUUAUAGUGAUCUCUUUGCCACUGAUUUUAUUUUCUUUACUUCUUGGAUUUGGGUGUUACUUCCUCGGAAGAGCCAAAGGCCGCCAAGAUCUACGCACCCAUGCUCAAGUUUACGGAGUCCCGACACCUCCGCCCGGUAGCGGCAUUGCGGUGGCGGAGGCUUCUUUUCCUUCACCACCGCAGCAGCAUUCCCAUUUCAAAACUGCCGACAAUUUGGCCAUGGCUUGAUUUCAAAAUUAAUAUAAAGAAGGCCCUCCACCAUGAUUAAGGCUUCUACUUGUGUUAUGAUAUUGCAUACUGAUAGUAGUAUUACUACAAGAUUUUGUUGUAUAUUGGUGAGGCAAAUUUGGUUUGGUCAAAGUUUAGUUUGGUUUGGUUUGGUUUGGUUUGGUGUAAAUUAGUGAUUUUGGGUGUUGUAUAAGAUUUGAUUGAUUGGAGUUUCAUAUAUUAUAGAUCUUGAUAAUAUAUUCAAUAACAUUAUAUAGGGUUAUACAACCUGAUAAAAAUAUGCCAAAAAUUUUCAAUUUACACA